RNAcentral lists this long non-coding RNA (3206 nucleotides) under Rattus norvegicus (Norway rat). RNAcentral's name for it is "long non-coding RNA NONRATT023850". The record is from RNAcentral. Lineage: Eukaryota; Metazoa; Chordata; Mammalia; Rodentia; Muridae.
GGUGGGUUUGGUAACAGUAGAGGGGGUGGAGCUGGCUUGGGAAAUAACCAGGGUGGUAAUAUGGGUGGAGGGAUGAAUUUUGGUGCUUUUAGCAUUAAUCCAGCGAUGAUGGCUGCAGCUCAGGCAGCGUUACAGAGCAGUUGGGGUAUGAUGGGCAUGUUAGCCAGCCAGCAGAACCAGUCAGGCCCAUCUGGGAAUAACCAAAGCCAGGGCAGCAUGCAGAGGGAACCAAAUCAGGCUUUUGGUUCUGGAAAUAACUCUUACAGUGGUUCUAAUUCUGGUGCCCCCCUUGGUUGGGGGUCAGCAUCAAAUGCAGGAUCAGGCAGUGGUUUUAAUGGAGGCUUUGGCUCAAGCAUGGAUUCUAAAUCCUCUGGCUGGGGAAUGUAGGUGGGUGGGGGUGGUUAGUAGGUUGGUUGGUAGGUUAGGUAGGUUUAGAAUGGUGGGAUUCAAAUUUUUCUAAACUCAUGGUAAGUAUAUUGUAAAAUACAUAUGUACUAAAAUUUUCAGAUUGGUUUGUUCAGUGUGGAGUAUAUUCAGCAGUAUUUUUGACAUUUUUCUUUAGAAAAAAGAGGGAAAAACUAAAUGAAUUUUAUAAGUUUUGUUAUAUAAAGGGUUAAAAUACUGAGUGGGUGAAAGUGAACUGCUGUUUGCCUAAUUGGUAAACCAACACUACAAUUGAUCUCAGAAGGUUUCUCUGUAAUAUUCUAUCAUUGGAAUUGUUAAUGAAUUCUUUGCAUGUUCAGAGUAGAAACCAUUGGUUAGAACUACAUUCUUUUCUCCUUAUUUUAAUUUGAAUCCCACCCUAUGAAUUUCUUCCUUAGGAAAAUCUCCAUUUGGGAGAUCAUGAUGUCAUGGUGUUUGGUUCUUUUGGUUUUGUUUUUAACACUUGUCUUCCUUCAUAUACGAAAGUACAAUAUGAAGCCUUCAUUUAAUCUCUGCAGUUCAUCUCAUUUCAAAUGUUUAUGGAAGAAGCACUUCAUUGAAAGUAGUGCUGUAAAUAUUCUGCCAUAGGAAUACUUCUGUCUACAUGCUUUCUCAUCCAAGAAUUCGUCAUCACGCUGCACAGGCUGCGUCUUUGACGGUGGGUGUUCCAUUUUUAUCCGCUACUCUUUAUUUCAUGGAAUCGUAUCAACGCUAUGAACGCAAGGCUGUGAUAUGGAACCAGAAGGCUGUUUGAACUUUUGAAACCUUGUGUGGGAUUGAUGGUGGUGCCGAGGCAUGAAAGGCUAGUAUGAGCGAGAAAAGGAGAGAGCGCGUGCAGAGACUUGGUGGUGGAAAAUGGAUAUUUUUUAACUUGGAGAGAUGUGUCCCUCAAUCCUGUGGCUUUGGUGCGAGAGUGUGCAGAGAGCAAUGAUAGCAGAUAACUAACGUACGAGUGUUUCUGCAUCAGAGGACAUCCACGUCUGUUGGAAGACUUUGAGUUUUGUUCUUAGGAAACCCACAGUAGCUGAAUGUGUUAAGUGAAAUACUUGUACUUCCCUCCCCUCUGUCAACUGCUGUGAAUGCUGUAUGGUGUGUGUUCUCCUCUGUUACUGAUCUGGAAGUGUGGGAACGUGAACUGAAGCUGAUGGGCUGCGAACAUGGACUGAGCUUGUGGUGUGCUUUGCAGGAGAACUUGGAAGCAGAGUUCACCAGUGAGCUCAGGUGUCUCAAAGAAGGGUGGAAGUUCUCAUGUCUGUUAGCUAUUCAUAAGAAUGCUGUUUGCUGCAGUUCUGUGUCCUGUGCUUGGAUGCUUUUUAUAAGAGUUGUCAUUGUUGGAAAUUCUUAAAUAAAACUGAUUUAAAUAAUAUGUGUCUUUGUUUUGCAGCCCUGAAUGCAAAGAAUUCAUAGCAGUUAAUUCCCCUUUUUGACCCUUUUGAGAUGGAACUUUCAUAAAGUUUCUUGGCAGUAGUUUAUUUUGCUUCAAAUAAACUUAUUUGAAAAGUUGUCUCAAGUCAAAUGGAUUCAUCACCUGUCAUGCAUUGACACCUGAUACCCAGACUUAAUUGCUAUUUGUUCUUGCAUUGUCCAAAGUGAAAGUUUUUCUUUGGGUUAUUCUGUUUUUAAUCUAGUUUUUCUUAAGUCUGGGUGACCGCACCUAAAAUGGUAAGCAGUUACCCUCCUGCUUGUUCUGAGUGCCUCUGUGCAUUUACGUGGCUGUGGGAGUCCCCGCUGGGGAGUCACCUUUUAAAAUAACUAUUUGGGAGAGAGGGCAAAACAGUUGACUGUUUUCAAAUGCUGUGCAGUAGAGCAUAUUGAUGGAAAAGAAGGGGGUGAUAAGCACCUUUCUGUUUGGGAUUUGAAAAGUGGAAUUAAUUGCAAUAGGGAUGAAGUAGAAGAAACCAAGAAACCAUGUGCCUGAAAUCCAUUAAGAAGCCUGAUAGCUUUAAGAACUAGUAGGGUGGGUUGUCUUAUCUGUGGCAGUCUUAAGUGAGGUAGGCUCCUACCCUCCUGAAUGUGGGGGUUGUAGUGAUGAAUAAAUAUGCUCACAAAACCAGAUUAGACUGUCAAUGCAUUGUUAAGAAUGUAAAAGCAAUAAUACAUUGAUUAUUGUACUUUUCCUGUAACUACUGAGAACUGAGGGGCUCCUUUUCUAACUGGAAGAAUGUGACAGUUUUGUGUUGGUAGUUUCCCUAACGCCCUUACCUAAAUAGACUAUGAUAAAUAGGUUUGUCAUUUUGCAAGUUGCGUGUUUGAAAAUUUUAUAUCCUUUAGAGACUUGUUAUGAACACAUUGUUUCAUUAUACAGUAUCCUCUGUAAAAGGAUCGUGAGUUAUUGUAAAUUUUUUUCUCUGCAUCUAAACCUGCAUGAUUUCCAAACCCUGUACAUCUGAAUUUUGCAUUUUAGCACUUGCACUAUUACUCAGCAGCAGUAACAUGGUAACAUUAAAAUGGUUUUCGGGGACCUCCAAAGACUAAAACUGGCAAGCCGUCCAGGAGUCCUGGGGUAAGUUACUUGUCAAUGGCAUGGUUUUGAUCCCUUUUUUGCACUUGUUAAAGACUUACUGGUCAUAGAAGGCUUUCAGUGUUGAGUAGCCUUUUGUUUAACAUGUUUAUGGUAUGACAUAGCUGUAGAUAGUUACUUGCCAUAAAUGAAGUUUUAGAAAUAAACUACUUGGCAAAGAUUUGUUUUCGAAAGUCUGGUCAUCAAAACGCGUUCAUUCCUUAAAAAUAAUGAAAGAGAACUCUUUGAACCUCGGUUGAAUAAAAGGUUUUCUUGCCACCAA